Molecule: long non-coding RNA, 955 nt
Organism: Apis dorsata (giant honeybee)
Lineage: Eukaryota; Metazoa; Arthropoda; Insecta; Hymenoptera; Apidae
Exons: 2
Source: RefSeq, a predicted model, not a curated record
AAUGAAUAAUUAUUUCAAUCUUUUCAACUAUCACAAAUACGUUUCUAAUAUUUCACUUGGUUGGUUGAAAGAAUGAUUAAAAGUAUCUAGUAUAAAUUAAAUUAAUUGGACAAAUUUGCAUAUCUCUACGAGAGAUGCAUGUUUCUCCAGAUGAGAAUCACUGUAAAGCAACGCGUAUACACAAGUAUGCGCAUAGAAAUAGUAUGCAUCCACCCACACGUUGAUGGCACACGACUCGCGUGCCAUAUAUUUCCUUUCGUAGAAUAAAAGCACCCUCUUUCCACAGAGUCGUUCAUCCUUGCCUAGAAACCGGUCCAGAUGCAGCGGAUUUAAGUUGCAUAUCAGCUGCCUCGUUCUUCGUAUAUAUGUAUAUGUACUCCGAGAAACAUAUUUCCUUUCUCAAAUAAUGUACAAUAUUUCUCCGUAGUUCUUCGUAUUUUAAGUGCACGGGGCAGUAACAAACGGUACACAAAUGAUAAAGCAAGUAUAAACUUCGAUCGAAAUUUCGCGAAUAUUAAAUAAUAAAUCAAGGGACGAACGUUCGAUUAUUAAAAAUUAAUCGAAUCGAGCGAAACGAUAUAUAUAUAUAUUACAACAAGAAGCGUUCGAAUCAUUGAUUUACUUAAGAAUCUUUGAAUCUUCUCAUAGGGACACGCGCUUCCCUUAAUAAGGAAUAGCACGCGUGCCACGUGUUUCCAGAGGAAUAAGUUCACCCUUCUUCUGCUGUCACCCUCCAAAAAAAAAGUAGAGUUUAACAGCUUCUUCUCGUGAAAGGAUCUCUCACACGUGCGAUAUAUCUCGAAGGGGUAUCAAUAUUGGUAUUCCACGAGCCGAAGUUCGCCGUUAUUGAAAUCUCUUGACCCGGUAAUCGACGACAUAGUGUCGAACAAUCCUUAAGAUAUCGACGUCUCGUGUAUCGAAUUAUUUCUUCGAUUAUCUCUCGAUAUAUCAAACG